GAUUAACGCUAGCGGCAGGCCUAAUACAUGCAAGUUGUACGGGAUUAUUGGUAGCAAUACUGAUAUGAGAGUAGCGCACGGGUGCGUAACACGUAUGCAACCUACCUUUAACUGGGGAAUAGCCUUCCGAAAGGAAGAUUAAUACCGCAUAACAUUGCGAAACGACAUCGUUUUGCAAUUAAACCUACGGGGGUUAGAGAUGGGCAUGCGUCCGAUUAGCUAGUUGGCGGGGUAANAGCCCACCAAGGCAACGAUCGGUAGGGGGUCUGAGAGGAUGAUCCCCCACACUGGUACUGAGACACGGACCAGACUCCUACGGGAGGCAGCAGUAAGGAAUAUUGGACAAGUGGGGCGAACCCUGAUCCACGCCAUGCCGCGUGAAGGAUGAACGGCCCUAGUGGGUACGUAAAC
RNAcentral lists this ribosomal RNA (411 nucleotides) under uncultured bacterium. Its description in RNAcentral is "bacterial SSU rRNA". It matches the Rfam family "Bacterial small subunit ribosomal RNA", at positions 28 to 430 of the family's 1533-position model. The record is from RNAcentral.